GACGAACGCUGGCGGCGUGCUUAACACAUGCAAGUCGAACGGAAAGGCCCUGCUUUUGUGGGGUGCUCGAGUGGCGAACGGGUGAGUAACACGUGAGUAACCUGCCCUUGACUUUGGGAUAACUUCAGGAAACUGGGGCUAAUACCGGAUAGGAUCUCCUGCUGCAUGGUGGGGGUUGGAAAGUUUCGGCGGUUGGGGAUGGACUCGCGGCUUAUCAGCUUGUUGGUGGGGUAGUGGCUUACCAAGGCUUUGACGGGUAGCCGGCCUGAGAGGGUGGCCGGCCACAUUGGGACUGAGGUACGGCCCAGACUCGUACGGGAGGCAGCAGGGGGGAAUAUGGCACAAUGGGCGGAAGCCUGAUGCAGCAACGCCGCGUGCGGGAUGACGGCCUUCGGGUUGUAAACCGCUUUCGCCUGUGACGAAGCGUGAGUGACGGUAAUGGGUAAAGAAGCACCGGCUAACUACGUG
RNAcentral lists this ribosomal RNA (468 nucleotides) under uncultured bacterium. RNAcentral describes it as "partial 16S ribosomal RNA". It matches the Rfam family "Bacterial small subunit ribosomal RNA", at positions 28 to 507 of the family's 1533-position model. The record is from RNAcentral.